Molecule: ribosomal RNA, 813 nt
Filed under: Salmonella enterica subsp. enterica serovar Bovismorbificans
Lineage: Bacteria; Pseudomonadati; Pseudomonadota; Gammaproteobacteria; Enterobacterales; Enterobacteriaceae
Description: partial 23S ribosomal RNA
Rfam family: Bacterial large subunit ribosomal RNA
Source: RNAcentral
GAUACGGUUAACGGAGCGAAAGCGACGUUCAACCGCAAAAGAAGCAGAGGGGGCUUAGUGGUGGGGUGACUGCGUACCUUUUGUAUAAUGGGUCAGCGACUUAUAUUCUGUAGCAAGGUUAACCGAAUAGGGGAGCCGGAGGGAAACCGAGUCUUAAUUGGGCGUUAAGUUGCAGGGUAUAGACCCGAAACCCGGUGAUCUAGCCAUGGGCAGGUUGAAGGUUGGGUAACACUAACUGGAGGACCGAACCGACUAAUGUUGAAAAAUUAGCGGAUGACCUGUGGCUGGGGGUGAAAGGCCAAUCAAACCGGGAGAUAGCUGGUUCUCCCCGAAAGCUAUUUAGGUAGCGCCUCGUGAAUUCAUCUCCGGGGGUAGAGCACUGUUUCGGCUAGGGGGCCAUCCCGGCUUACCAACCCGAUGCAAACUGCGAAUACCGGAGAAUGUUAUCACGGGAGACACACGGCGGGUGCUAACGUCCGUCGUGAAGAGGGAAACAACCCAGACCGCCAGCUAAGGUCCCAAAGUCAUGGUUAAGUGGGAAACGAUGUGGGAAGGCCCAGACAGCCAGGAUGUUGGCUUAGAAGCAGCCAUCAUUUAAAGAAAGCGUAAUAGCUCACUGGUCGAGUCGGCCUGCGCGGAAGAUGUAACGGGGCUAAACCAUGCACCGAAGCUGCGGCAGCGACGUUUAUGCGUUGUUGGGUAGGGGAGCGUUCUGUAAGCCUGCGAAGGUGGCCUGUGAGGGUUGCUGGAGGUAUCAGAAGUGCGAAUGCUGACAUAAGUAACGAUAAAGCGGGUGAAAAGCCCGCUCGCCGG